Long non-coding RNA from Gordionus sp. m RMFG-2023, 273 nucleotides. RefSeq lists it as uncharacterized. The record is from RefSeq and is a predicted model, not a curated record. Lineage: Eukaryota; Metazoa; Nematomorpha; Gordioida; Chordodea; Parachordodidae. The transcript has 4 exons.
GAAACCUCUAAAGCUAUAAUUUUACGUGUUUAUUAAAAAAUGUAUAAAUAUUUUAAAACUAUUCCAUUGCAUAUGGAUUAUGAAGGACAAUUGCUAGCUGAAAAAAUAUACCAAUCUAUCAUAAUUAUAUUUGGGGUUUUCUUCUGGGUUAUUAUUUCCAGUUGUUUUCUUAUACGGUAUAUUUAUUGGGAAUAGGCAUUUUGAUAUCUUCUUUAAUGGUUAUACCAGCAUGGCCUAUUUAUAGACAAAAACCUUUAAAGUGGCAAAAACUUA